Molecule: non-coding RNA, 456 nt
Organism: Hippopotamus amphibius kiboko
Lineage: Eukaryota; Metazoa; Chordata; Mammalia; Artiodactyla; Hippopotamidae
Source: the annotation of a RefSeq genome assembly
GCUGUGAGCACCAUGGCCUGGACGCCUCUCCUUCUCCUGCUCCUCUCUCACUGCACAGGGUCCCUCUCCCAGCCUGUGCUCACUCCGCCACCCUCCCUCCCUGCAUCCCUGGGAGCAUCGGCCCGACUCACCUGCACCCUGAGCAGUGGGAACAGUGUUGGCAGCUAUCCUGUAUCCUGGUACCAGCAGAAGCCAGGGAGCCCUCCCCGGUACCUCCUGUACUACGUCACAGACUCCAUUCAGCACCGGGGCUCCGGGGUCCCCAGCCGCUUCUCUGGGUCCAAAGAUGUCUCGGCCAGUGCAGGGCUCCUGUUCAUCUCCGGGCUGCAGCCCGAGGACCAGGCUGACUAUUUCUGUGCUGCAGGUUAUGGCAGUGGGAGCAGCAGUGGUGCCCAAAGUGUCUCAGAUGAUGAGGAAGUGAGACAAAAACACCUGGGUCCCCAGACCUUGUCUUGA